GUAGUUGGCGGGGUAACGGCCCACCAAGCCUGCGAUCAGUAACUGGUGUGAGAGCACGACCAGUCACACGGGCACUGAGACACGGGCCCGACUCCUACGGGAGGCAGCAGUAAGGAAUAUUGGGCAAUGGACGCAAGUCUGACCCAGCCAUGCCGCGUGGAGGAUGAAGGUCCUCUGGAUUGUAAACUUCUUUUCUCUGGGGCGAAAAACAGGUAUUCUUACUUGCUUGACAGUACCAGAGGAAUAAGCACCGGCUAACUCCGUGCCAGCAGCCGCGGUAAUACGGAGGGUGCAAGCGUUAUCCGGAUUCACUGGGUUUAAAGGGUGCGUAGGUGGGCAGGUAAGUCAGCGGUGAAAUCCCCGAGCUUAACUUGGGAACUGCCAUUGAUACUAUCUGUCUUGAAUACCUUGGAGGUGAGCGGAAUAUGUCAUGUAGCGGUGAAAUGCUUAGAUAUGACAUAGAACACCAAUUGCGAAGGCAGCUCACUACACGGUCAUUGACACUGAGGCACGAAAGCGUGGGGAUCAAACAGGAUUAGAUACCCUGGUAGUCCACGCCCUAAACGAUGGGUACUCGACAUCAGCGAUACACUGUUGGUGUCUGAGCGAAAGCAUUAAGUAUCCCACCUGGGAAGUACGACCGCAAGGUUGAAACUCAAAGGAAUUGACG
This 670-nucleotide ribosomal RNA is filed under the name uncultured Bacteroidota bacterium. Its description in RNAcentral is "SSU rRNA". It matches the Rfam family "Bacterial small subunit ribosomal RNA", at positions 245 to 915 of the family's 1533-position model. The record is from RNAcentral. Lineage: Bacteria; Pseudomonadati; Bacteroidota.